This 3426-nucleotide long non-coding RNA is filed under the name Nicotiana benthamiana. Its description in RNAcentral is "long non-coding RNA (NBEN_LNC042113)". Lineage: Eukaryota; Viridiplantae; Streptophyta; Magnoliopsida; Solanales; Solanaceae. The record is from RNAcentral.
CAUCAUUAAAAUACGUAUAUAAUGGAUACAUAUUCUGUAUACUUACAUUUAUACGCACAUACAUACAGUUGGAGAGAGAGAGUUGCAAAAUGUGACUAGUCUCCUUUUUUACUAUCAAACUUUGUGGUAAAGUGAUAAAAAUUUUAGGUUUGAAUAGUGGGUAUGAAAUCGCCUUGUGAUAGAAAGCAUUUUACCCCUAGAGCAAAACUUGAGUCGCAAAUAUUUCGAAUUAAUUGAGCUUUAAGCAGAUACUGGACACCGAAAAGAAAAAAAAAGGACUAUUCUUCUCUAAAUAAUUUACAUACCAUUCUCCUCUUUUCUCAAUUUUGAAAAGUAAAUAUCGACACACAGUCGUGCACACACAUAGAGCAACAAAAAAAAGAAGACGAAUGGUGCCAAUUUUGCUGUGAUGUUUUUCAUCUAAUUUUGCAUUUUUAGUUUUAUAAUGUAUAUCUUUUUGUCUUUCCCAUUAAUAUUACAUCUAUAAUUCAUCUUCUUUAGUUGAAAUGACAAUAAUACACCUCAUACAUGACUGAUACAACCCCCCUCCUCCAACCCCCACCCCACCACUAGAGUUUAAUUCUUUCUUUAUCUCUUUUGUUCACACAAUAUAAUAAUAAAAAGAUUAUGUAUCUAUAAUUCAAUGUAUAUGUAUUUUUUUAAGAAAAAAUUACAAGGAAAUAUACAUUACUUUAUACCAUAACAAAAAAAAGCCCAUGUUUUUAAGUUUUACCCUAUCUAACCUAUAUUGUAUUUCGAAAGCAUUAGCAAAUUCAAAAUAUGUGUUCUUAUAAUCAUUGAUUCUAAAAGCUCUGAAGUUAAAUCUCACAACCAUUGCUUUCUCUCUCUCUUCUUCUUACAUCUUCUACAUAUGCUUCAAGGAGCCGUGUAUUUUCUGCUUCUCCCCAUGUUUGCAAUGUCAAAAUAUUAAAGAGUAGAAGUCCACCAUUGAAUGCCAUUCAAAGUUUUUCUUUCGAAAAUAGGAUUUUUUGAACUUUGUUAGUUGUUUGGAUUGAGUAUUGUUCCAAUUGAUUGAAAAUAUCAAAAGGAGUUCAAAAUUUAAAUUUGAAGUAAUUUGGAGUAGAUUUGAACAAGAUUUGAGUUAAAUUUAAGGAAAAACGCAAGCUAGAUGAUGAAGUUAGUUUUUUUUGUAUAAUUUUGUAUAAUCUUGUAUAAUAGUGUAUAUGAGUGUAUAAACACAUCUUAUACACUAUUAUAUACUUUUAUGCACUUUUAUACAAGUAUCUGCAGACGAACUUCUUCCGCGAUUUUCAUUUACAAUUCUUGUCCAAAACCAGUCUAAAUCUCCAUUAAAUGACUUCAAAUUUUAUCUACAACCUCCUUAUACUAUUUCUAACAAGUUUAAAUAACACUCACACUAAAUUUCUCACAAAAGCAAAUUCAAAAUUUAAAUCCAUAUAUUUUAGCUUGAUAAAAUCUAAUGUUUACCACCCAAAUAAAUUUGGUUUGUUGAACUAAUAUUUGAGUUACAUUCGCUUAUUCAAAAAUUAACUUAAAAGCCUGAACAAUUUUUAAAAAAAUUAACUCGUAAUUUUGAAUAUCUAUUGGAGUUGAAAGCCUAUUAUUUAUGGGCUACUUGAUUGUAAAUUAAAAUAUGGGUUAUAAAGUUGAAAAAUAGGCACCCCAAUUGUUAUUAUGUGAAAUUUUCUCUUUUUUAAUGUAUAUGUGUAUAUAAGUUUGAUUCAUAAGUGUAUAAUUAUUGUUGAUUUGCAUUUAAUGGCUUAUUGAUUGGUGGGUCCACAUUUUGGCAUUAUUUAUUGGUUGGUCCAUUCCCUUUUGUCUAUUUUUGACUCUAUAAUUCACUAGUUUUUGAGUUAUUUUCAAUCAUACGCAAACUGGGCCUUUUAUCUGUUCCGCCUUAUUUUAUUUUAUUUUAUUUAGGCGUUGCGACUGAAUUGGAGUUUUAACUUUUAUGCGAAUAUAUAUUAUAACUUUUACACUAUUAGAUCACGUAAAUAAUAAUAUAUAUGAUUUAAAAAAUAAGAUAAAAUAGAUUUUAUAGAAUUCCACUUAUAUAUUGUAAAAAAUUCCAUUUAUACUGCCAUAUAGUGGAAGUUAAAUUCAUAAUAUUACCAUUUCUUUCGCAUAGCGUUGUACGAAACCUGUAGUUUUUCUCUGUUUCUUUUUUCGGAAGAUAUUGAAAUCCUCUUUAUAGUCCUACUUCUGUUCUUUGAAUUCUUGUGGAUAAUAUUGCAGGGCCUUCAAAUUAUUAAUUUUUUGUUUUUUUCCCGGUAAAUACCUUCAUUUAUGUGUUAAACUCCAAGUUCAAUUUUUUUUAAAAUACUACCUCAAGUUAAUUAAGCUGAAGGUUGGACACAAAGUGGGCUCAAGCUAAUUAAGCUGAAGGUUGGACACAGAGUGGGCGUUUUGGCGUAAGAAUUAUAACAUUCCAAAACAAGCUGAUAAUUUUUUAAGUGAAAAUGAUAUUUAAUAUUUAUUAGAGUUGUUGAUGUUCUAAACGUCAAUAUCAUAUAAGAGCAUGGUGAUUUGUGUGGUACCAAUUUUCGAUCUAGAAGAACAUGGUUCUUCUAGGUGUUCUAACUACUAGUGUUUGCGAAAUUAAAAGUGGAGAAAAUAAAGAAUACUGAGAUUUCCCCUCUCAGCACCACUUGCUCCCCCUCUCUCUCUCUCUCUCGCUCUUUCUUUCUUUUUACCUCCACUUCUACUAGAUUCAACCCCUUUACAUCUUUGAUAGAACCAAUCAAGACAAACCUAUUUUCUACACUUUCAACCACAUUAGAGAAUACCACACAAGAACUUAUCUUACCAGGGGUUUCUUGAAUUUUAUCAAUGUCAGAAGACUCAUGUUCUUCACCUGCAAAAAUAAAAUCAUCAGAUUCAGAGCUUGAGUCAGAUUCUUGCGCGUGACUUUCCUUCCUCUGACUAGCCUUCAAUUUCUCACUUAGAGCUUUUCUUAAAGCUCCAGAAGCUAUAGUUUCUAGCUAGCAUUUUCUACCUACGAAACCUAGGUUUUGGGGUUUCACUAGGGCACUAAAUGAGGAUGUAUUGGAAAGGGAUACUGGUGGGGGAAUACCAGGGUUAUCUUGAGGAUUAGUCAUGGUGGGUUGUUUCUAGAGAAAAAUUUGGGAAUUUUGUAGAGAAGAGGAGUGAUCAGAACUUGAAAAGAGUUUUGAUGGGUAUGGACUAAAGAAGGAGAUGUGUGGUGUAUUUAAAGGUGAUUAGACUUAAAUGCAAUAAUGACAGCUUUUUCAGAGGUAAAUUAGAAGUCUAAUCAAGGUGUAAUUACAGUCUCAUUGUGAUUAUUAGGCAUCGCUAGAUUUUAGGGAAAAAAUCCCGAUUUUUAGAGUUCUAGGGGAACGAAACUGGUUCAAUGCUAAACGGAUAGAAAUUAUGGGAAUUUGAUGAAUGUAGGACCUCUGCUCAUGAUUGGAAAAAUAAUCUUUC